This 406-nucleotide ribosomal RNA is filed under the name uncultured bacterium. Its description in RNAcentral is "partial 16S ribosomal RNA". It matches the Rfam family "Bacterial small subunit ribosomal RNA", at positions 29 to 526 of the family's 1533-position model. The record is from RNAcentral.
AUUGAACGCUGGCGGCAGGCCUAACACAUGCAAGUCGAACGAGUGGCGGACGGGUGAGUAAGGUCUGGGAAACUGCCCGAGGGAGGGGGAUAACUACUGGAAACGGAUGCCAAAACCGCCCACCAUAGGAUGUGCCCAGAUGGGAUUGGCUAGUGGGUGGGGUAACGGCUCACCUAGGCGACGAUCCCUAGCUGGUCGGAGAGGAGGACCAGCCACACUGGAACGGAGACACGGUCCAGACUCCUACGGGAGGCAGCAGUGGGGAAUAUUGCACAAUGGGCGAAAGCCUGAUGCAGCCAUGCCGCGUGUUUGAAGAAGGCCUUCGGUUUGUAAAGUACUUUAAGCGGGGAGGCGUUACCCGCAGAAGAAGCACCGGCUAACUCCGUGCCAGCAGCCGCGGUAAUUC